Molecule: ribosomal RNA, 406 nt
Filed under: Lacticaseibacillus paracasei
Lineage: Bacteria; Bacillati; Bacillota; Bacilli; Lactobacillales; Lactobacillaceae
Description: bacterial SSU rRNA
Rfam family: Bacterial small subunit ribosomal RNA
Source: RNAcentral
CGAUGAAUAAGCUAGGUGUUGGAGGGUUUCCGCUCUUCAGUGCGGCGCAGCUAACGCAUUAAGCAUUCCGCCUGGAGGAGUACGACCGCAAGGUUGAAACUCAAAGGAAUUGACGGGGGCCCGCACAAGCGGUGGAGCAUGUGGUUUAAUUCGAAGCAACGCGAAGAACCUUACCAGGUCUUGACAUCUUUUGAUCACCUGAGAGAUCAGGUUAAUCCCCUUCGGGGGCAAGGAAUGACAGGUGGUGCAUGGUUGUCGUCAGCUCGUGUCGUGAGAUGUUGGGUUAAGUCCCGCAACGAGCGCAACCCUUAUGACUAGUUGCCAGCAUUUAGUUGGGCACUCUAGUAAGGACUGCCGGUGACAAACCGGAGGAAGGUGGGGAUAAGACGUCAAAUCAUCAUGCCCC